This 540-nucleotide long non-coding RNA is filed under the name Drosophila guanche. Lineage: Eukaryota; Metazoa; Arthropoda; Insecta; Diptera; Drosophilidae. The record is from RNAcentral.
GUAGUUUAAAGUUCUUUGGUGUUUGUUUGGUGUUUAACGAAUUUGAGUUCGAUUAUUGUUUGCUUCUUGGUUUCUUUGUUAGUUUUUUGUAGUGAUACGUUUUAGUGCGAAAUCUUUGACUGCUUUGUGCUCCCACUGUGCGGUCGGUCGGUCGGUCGGUCGGUCAGAAAUUCGAAAUCCAACGCGGCCUACCCCCAUUCUAGAUCUAAUCUAGCGCUAUCCCUAAUCUACCCCACCCCGUCGCGCCUGUGCCGCAAAAACUAACAUCAUCUUCAUCUCCCUCAGCAUGGCAGCACGGUCGUCAAGUGUGCUACGUACUUUGUGCGCUGUUCGAUGUGUACACUGUUCCACCCACUGCCCAACGAUAUCUAAGCUAACGGCCUACCUACUGCUUCCGUUGUACAAGUAGUGGCAUCGUGCCCAUUCCUCCAUCCAUCCUCCUUCCAUUCAUCCUCCUUCCUUUCUUCCGUUGUAUUGCGUUUACUAACCAUUUGCCACCAUCAUUUGCGUUGCUGCUGUGACUCGGUUUGCUUUUGGUUU